UGAUGAUGAUGAGAUACUUGACGUUGGAUCAAGAACUCACGUUACUUUGAAGUGAGUUUGAUUUGGAAAACACUUAGAGUUGGAUCAAGUGUGUUUUAUUCUUUGAAAAAAGAUCUUUUUAUCGUUUGAUUUUAUAUUGUUAGUUAGAAUGCAAUGGCAAGCAUUAAAGGAAAGGGAAAUCCUAAGCUAUUACAUGUUCAUGGGAAUGGGG
RNAcentral lists this long non-coding RNA (211 nucleotides) under Lathyrus oleraceus (garden pea). RNAcentral's name for it is "Pisum sativum (pea) long non-coding RNA (PSAT_LNC029062)". Lineage: Eukaryota; Viridiplantae; Streptophyta; Magnoliopsida; Fabales; Fabaceae. The record is from RNAcentral.